RNAcentral lists this ribosomal RNA (164 nucleotides) under uncultured bacterium. RNAcentral describes it as "partial 16S ribosomal RNA". It matches the Rfam family "Bacterial small subunit ribosomal RNA", at positions 355 to 511 of the family's 1533-position model. The record is from RNAcentral.
UAGGGAAUCUUCCACAAUGGGCGCAAGCCUGAUGGAGCAACACCGCGUGAGUGAAGAAGGGUUUCGGCUCGUAAAGCUCUGUUGUUAAAGAAGAACACGUAUGAAAGUAACUGUUCAUACGUUGACGGUAUUUAACCAGAAAGUCACGGCUAACUACGUGCCAG